CUCCACUCAAUAUUUUGCUGUACUAAUCUCCUGGUAGAUGUUUUUGCAAUAUUUCUUAAUUCAUUGGUAUUUCUUUGUUAAUUUUAUUUCUUUAGACAGGGUUCUGAUUCUGGUGUGGACACUUACUUUGGAUUUUGUACCUAUCCUAGGCAGGAGUUGCGUCGUCGUAUUGAUUUGAAGGUGUACCCAAGACACAUAUAUGCAUUUGGACUAAUAGCAUGGACAGGAAACGAUGUGCUCAAUAGGAGGUUGAGGUUGCUAGCAGAAUCUAAAGGAUUCCGGCUUGACGAUACUGGGUUGUUUCCAGCCGCACAUGGUUCUGGCAGCAAACGGGGUGCAAAAGGUAGUGCAAGUUUGAAAUUUAAUACUGAAAAGGAGGUAUUUCAUUUCCUGGACUUUCCUUGGCUUGAACCACAUGAAAGAAAUCUCUAAAUAUACGUACGAUUUGUAAGAAAUGUUCUGCUUGCUCUCUGCAUUCAACUUUUAGGAAUAUGGUGAUGCAUUUAGCAAAUGCCUUAGUUUUAUUCUCAGGGUGCUGCUUUGUAAAUAGACACUUGUAAGAUACAAUCGCACUUCUGACUUUUUUGUACAAUGGCACCAUAAGAUGAGAGCAGUUUUGCUGGAAGGACUUAUUUAAAAUAUAUUAAGUUAAUUGUCGUUACUGCAGUUUAA
Molecule: non-coding RNA, 672 nt
Organism: Vigna umbellata (rice bean)
Lineage: Eukaryota; Viridiplantae; Streptophyta; Magnoliopsida; Fabales; Fabaceae
Source: RefSeq, a predicted model, not a curated record